AGCAGCCGCGGUAAUUCCAGCUCCAAUAGCGUAUAUUAAAGUUGUUGCAGUUAAAAAGCUCGUAGUUGAAUUUCGGGAUCAAUUUGCUGGUCGUGCCUCUGGUACGUACUGGUAUUAUUGGUUUCUCCCUUCUGACGAACCAUGAUGUCAUUAAUUUGAUGUCGUGGAGAAUCAGGACUGUUACUUUGAAAAAUUAGAGUGUUUAAAGCAGGCAUUAGCUUGAAUACAUUAGCAUGGAAUAAUGAAAUAGGACGUUUGAUCCUAUUUUGUUGGUUUCUAGGAUUGACGUAAUGAUUAAUAGGGAUAGUUGGGGGCAUUAGUAUUCAAUUGUCAGAGGUGAAAUUCUUGGAUUUAUUGAAGACUAACUACUGCGAAAGCAUUUGCCAAGGAUGUUUUCAUUAAUCAAGAACGAAAGUUAGGGGAUCGAAGACGAUCAGAUACCGUCGUAGUCUUAACCAUAAACUAUGCCGACUAGGGAUCGGAUGAUGUUAAUUU
RNAcentral lists this ribosomal RNA (495 nucleotides) under uncultured Glomus. RNAcentral describes it as "SSU rRNA". It matches the Rfam family "Eukaryotic small subunit ribosomal RNA", at positions 569 to 1069 of the family's 1831-position model. Lineage: Eukaryota; Fungi; Glomeromycota; Glomeromycetes; Glomerales; Glomeraceae. The record is from RNAcentral.